AUUGAACGCUGGCGGCAUGCCUUACACAUGCAAGUCGAACGGCAGCGGACCUUCGGGUGCCGGCGAGUGGCGAACGGGUGAGUAAUAUAUCGGAACGUACCUUUCAGUGGGGGAUAACGUAGCGAAAGUUACGCUAAUACCGCAUAUUCUGUGAGCAGGAAAGCAGGGGAUCGCAAGACCUUGCGCUGAUUGAGCGGCCGAUAUCAGAUUAGCUAGUUGGUGAGGUAAAGGCUCACCAAGGCGACGAUCUGUAGCGGGUCUGAGAGGAUGAUCCGCCACACUGGAACUGAGACACGGUCCAGACUCCUACGGGAGGCAGCAGUGGGGGAAUAUUGGACAAUGGGGGCAACCCUGAUCCAGCCAUGCCGCGUGUGUGAAGAAGGCCUCGGUUGUAACGCUUCUGCCGGAAGAAUACGCCGUUUUAAUUACUAGACGGUGGAGUGACGGUACCGGAACGGAAGAAGACACCGGCGUAACUACGUA
RNAcentral lists this ribosomal RNA (483 nucleotides) under uncultured bacterium. RNAcentral's name for it is "bacterial SSU rRNA". It matches the Rfam family "Bacterial small subunit ribosomal RNA", at positions 30 to 507 of the family's 1533-position model. The record is from RNAcentral.